GGGCGUUUAGCGCAGUGGUAGCGCGUUCGCUUUGCAUGCGAAAGGUCCAGGUUUCGAUCACCUGAAUGUCCA
This 72-nucleotide transfer RNA is filed under the name Flammulina velutipes KACC42780. RNAcentral describes it as "tRNA-Ala (TGC) (tRNA-Ala-TGC-3 1 to 3)". It matches the Rfam family "tRNA". From Rfam's summary of the family: Transfer RNA (tRNA) molecules are approximately 80 nucleotides in length. Their secondary structure includes four short double-helical elements and three loops (D, anti-codon, and T loops). Further hydrogen bonds mediate the characteristic L-shaped molecular structure. tRNAs have two regions of fundamental functional importance: the anti-codon, which is responsible for specific mRNA codon recognition, and the 3' end, to which the tRNAs corresponding amino acid is attached (by aminoacyl-tRNA synthetases). tRNAs cope with the degeneracy of the genetic code in two manners: having more than one tRNA (with a specific anti-codon) for a particular amino acid; and 'wobble' base-pairing, i.e. permitting non-standard base-pairing at the 3rd anti-codon position. The record is from RNAcentral. Lineage: Eukaryota; Fungi; Basidiomycota; Agaricomycetes; Agaricales; Physalacriaceae.